This 463-nucleotide ribosomal RNA is filed under the name uncultured bacterium. RNAcentral's name for it is "partial 16S ribosomal RNA". It matches the Rfam family "Bacterial small subunit ribosomal RNA", at positions 28 to 507 of the family's 1533-position model. The record is from RNAcentral.
GACGAACGCUGGCGGCGUGCUUAACACAUGCAAGUCGAACGGAAAGGCCACGUCUGUGGUGCUCGCUCGGGUAACGGGCGAGUAACACGUAAGUAAUCUGCCCCUGGCUGUGGUAUAGCCACCGGAAGCGGAGAUGAAUACCGACUAUGAAACAGUCUCGCAUGCGUGGGUGUGGAUGGUUUUUCGGGUGGGGAUGGGCUCGAGGCCUAUCAGCUUGAUGGUGGGGUAGUGGCUUACCAUGGCUUUGACGGGUAGCCGGCCUGGGAGGGUGACCGGCCACACUGGGACUGAGACACGGCCCAGACUCCUACGGGAGGCAGCAGUGGGGAAUAUUGGACAAUGGGCGGAAGCCUGAUGCAGCAACGCCGCGUGAGGGAUGACGGCCUUCGGGUUGUAAACCGCUUUCAGUACCGACGAAGCGUGAGUGACGGUAGGUACAGAAGAAGCACCGGCCAACUACGUG